UUUAACAACUGUAUGCAACUAAUGAAAAAAUUGAAUUUGAAUCUCUUGGCUGUUUUGUCAAGUUUAUCCUUGGUUAGACUGUAUUUCCUAUAUAUAAUAUUUUGAGAUACCUUAAAUCAAAACUUUAUUUCUUCAAUUAUCUUUAAAUGGAUUUUAGUAAAAGACUUCUCUUCCUUAGGAUUUUUUCUCUUGGUUCUUCAGAUCUUGACUAGAGCCAGACAGUUGGAUGUGUGCUUUUUUACUGAGUUUGUUCAUUGCUUCAUUUGUUCCACUAUUUAUUUAACAAAUGUUUAUAAAGUAUAUACCAUGUGUCAGGCACAUUGUUACAAUUCUAUCUGGUAUUUUUUUUUAAUCAUUUCAGGACUGGUGAGGAAUAUUUUAAUAUCUCAAGAUGGUGUUAAAUUGGGAUCAUAUGUUUUCAAAAAAGAAGCACCUGGCUCAUUGUAUUGUUCUACUCUGAGGCAACCUUGGGGGGCCAAGAUCCCCAUCCUUAAGCUUGAGUGGUUAAUGUGUUGCUAACAACUCCACUCUGGGUGGUAAACACCAGACUGAAGCUUCAAGG
RNAcentral lists this long non-coding RNA (562 nucleotides) under Homo sapiens (human). Its description in RNAcentral is "non-protein coding lnc-ST13-1:5". The record is from RNAcentral. Lineage: Eukaryota; Metazoa; Chordata; Mammalia; Primates; Hominidae.